AGGUGUGAUCAUACCAGCACUAAUGCAUCGGAUCCCAUCAGAACUCCACAGAUAAACGUGCUUGGGCGAGAGUAGUACUAGGAUAGGUGACCUCCAGAGGUGCUCCUGGAAUAUUACCAGUC
RNAcentral lists this ribosomal RNA (122 nucleotides) under Lupinus angustifolius (narrow-leaved blue lupine). The record is from RNAcentral. Lineage: Eukaryota; Viridiplantae; Streptophyta; Magnoliopsida; Fabales; Fabaceae.